GCUGCUCAUGUCUUCUCUUUCCCCAGCACCAGUUAUAUAUGCUACCCAGAUUUUUAUUAAUUCAUUGCAGGGUAAAACUGCUGUUUUCUUUUUCUUGCCUUUCGUUCUCACCCUUCAAAAGUUAAACGGAAAUUCUUACCUGAAAAUUGGGGAGAUUGAUCAAACGACGAAGAUACAUGCAUGUCAAUUUACUUUCUGAGUGGUUUCUUUUGUUCCCUGUGAAGAGUAGGAUAUCUUAUUGGUUUCUAAAUCUGUUGUUUUUGUAUGACCUUUCCUGGAAUCAGUUCUAACAGAAAUGUUAUAUAACCAUUUUUAUGACAUGUACACUCUUCUGAAUGGGAAAGUGUUGUGUGCAUGCCAGGUAUCUCAUUAUUUUUCCAUUUCUUGUUCAACCAUUCCUUUUUGUUAUUUUUAAUCAUCAUGGUGGCUGGGGGAGGGGGGUUGAUAAUGUUUCUGAGUUCUUUUUUUAUAUAUUUUGUAUAUCUGUUUUCCUUCGAGUGUUUUCCACUGGUUAGGGACUAAAUUAGGGAUAUACUUUGAUGUUCCUUGUACACCAUAAUUCCAGAGAUCACACAAUGACUGCUGUUUAGAUAUCCAUUAGGAUUUGAAUGUCAGAAUAGUGAAGAGAUAGAAAAACCGUUACCUUCAAUAUUGGAUUCCAUUUUAUACCAGUUGCAACCACCCUUCGCCCAUCAUGCAGAGCACAUUUAUUAUCUAGUCAAUGAAGGUAGUUACUUAGAUUCAGUCCAUGAUGUUAUGUUACAAGUAUAAACUUAAGAUGCGAUCUCAGAUAUUACAGAAUAAAGCUCUUUGGAGUUGAACAUACACUCAUUUAUGAUAUCCUCAUUAUGUUUACCUGUUACGUCAUAUGAUCUAUGCUCACAACAUUACUUUUUCUGCUUGUGCUAAAAGCGCCGAAGUUGAUACCUCUAGUGCUAAUAACGUGGUCCCUCGUCCACUUGAUGGUAUUGAGAUCUGAAAAUGCCACCAUGUGAACAAUGUUUGGACGUUUCUGCGGUAUCAGAAUUUUGUUACUUUGAUGGAUGCUGUUAUGUAGCAACUAGCAAUCCUCAUCAAUAUAUUCUUGUUACUUUAUAUUUACAUGCUUAACAUUUUGAAUAAGUUGAUUGUGAUUUAUAUAUACACAUUUUGCUCACAUUAAUUUCUUAUCCUGACGUGACAUCUUGAGUUCUUACAUUUUUCGUUUCCUUUCCUUUUUGUAUUUUGGUGAUGGGUGACACUUUGUGCAAUUUGGCCUGCAUAUGCAUCUUUAUUCCAUGUUCAUCCUUUUAUAUGGAUAUAUCUUCUUUGAAUAUCAGAAGCACACAAAAUUUGUUCUCAUCUUUAAAGGAUGUUUUGGUGGACUAAAGCGCUUCUCUUUAUGACAGUAAAACAGAAUAUUUUUUAUAGGCAUGCAUUCAAGAAGAUUUUGGAUCAGUUUCUGGGAAUUAAUUUUGGUGGGGCCAAAACCAUUGGCUGGAUGAGACGCUGACACUGAAUUUUCCCUCAACACAUAGCUUCUAGUCUCAGAACUGCAAAUUGAAUUAAAUUGACAGUGGAGGAUCUUCUUUCUCGGUUUCAAAUUAUACAAGUGAGUCCUCCGCUGCAAUCUAGAAUAUAAGCUCCACAUAAGAUUGGCCAUUUUAUUUCUUGUUGUUUAGAUUCAGUUAUUAACGCGUGCAACUUGAAAUUCAACACAACAGAAAUGUCCUAAAGAUGUAUGUUCUAAAAAUCAAAAUAGCCUAGAUUUAAAUUGAAAUCGACAAGUUGCUUGAUGUCUCUAUUGAUCUUGACAGUCAAUGGAAAAGGACUUCAUGCAUUACACUCUUACCCAAAUGAAAGAUAUUAGAUUUUCAGUUUUUAGCUCUAAACUGUUGUGUCCCUCAAAAUUUUGAAACCUUCCACUGGUUUGUAAAUGAGAUUGUCAACGGAGCAAUAAAAGGUUAGUGGACUGGAGAAAAGCUGUUAUGAUGAGAUUAAAGAACAAUACUGACAAACUUCAGCCCUUAAUAUUUGAUGUUGAUGUAAAGAUAAAGAGAGUUUAAAGUUUAUCAAUAAUUUGGUCAAUAAUGUCUUCAUGUUGACAAUCAAGCAUGAGAGAGAGAGUAGAGUUUAUUGAAAAGUUGUGAUGCUUACAUACGUGGACCAAUUAGUAAUUUAAGGUCUUGUCUCAUGAGAUAUCCAUUAAUUUCGUUUGUACCAAAUUUUACGCCAAUAUUUGCAACUCAACCAAGAAGUUUGACAUUAUUGGUUAGCAAUGCUAGCGCAUCUCUCCUAAUGGCCUGUUAAUUUUAGAAUGAUCUUUUCAUGAGCUACAAUUGUUCAUAUUUCUGCAAAAUCCCUGCAUUUUUCAAUCUGGUUAAAUUAUGUAUCUCAAUCCCUCCUAACCUGAGGUAUUUGAUGCUUUAGAAUUCAUUUUAGUAAUUUUACUUCCUACUUAUUUGCAAAAUGCUCUUUGUGAUCUCAGCCAAUGAUGCGUCUCCUUAGUGUACAAUUUUUUCGGAAACUAUUGAUUUUAGCUUCAGAAUACUUUUAAUUCUAUUGCUAUUGAUUUUCAGAUAAUUAGUUUCCGAAUUUGCUUUAUUCGUAGAUAACUUUUAAGAAUCUGAAAAGCUACGAGAAUAUGCAUCUAUCUUUAACUGUUUCUUUUUCUUUUCUUUUUUUUUUUUAAUGGGAGGGUUGGCCUAACCAGUAUUAUGUUAAAAUUGGCCUUGAAUAUUUGGCUUUCCC
This 2730-nucleotide long non-coding RNA is filed under the name Olea europaea subsp. europaea. Lineage: Eukaryota; Viridiplantae; Streptophyta; Magnoliopsida; Lamiales; Oleaceae. The record is from RNAcentral.